UCAGGAAGCCAAGCUCGUCUGGAUUCCCACCAUGGCGUGGGCCCCUCUCCUCCUUAUGCUGCUCGCUUACUGCAUUGGUUGGAGUUCCCAGAGUACGCUGACUCAGACCAGCUCCAUGGCAGUGAAACUGGGGGAGACGGCCGAGCUGCACUGCACGUUGGAAGGGGUGCAGUUCAUUAAUGACAACUACCCAUCCUGGUAUCAGCAGAGAUUGGGGAAGGCCCCUAGGUUACUGAUCUAUAAGUCUAGGAGCAGAGCCUCGGGGAUCCCCGAGCGCUUCUCUGGCGACACGUACGGUAACAGGGCAUUGUUAAACAUCACUGGAGCCCAGGCCGAGGACGAGGGGGAUUAUUACUGUGCUGUGUGGUACUCUAGCUCUUAUCACAGUGACACAGUCAGAUGAGGAACUGAGACAAAAACUUCCCUGUUGA
Non-coding RNA from Gopherus evgoodei (Goodes thornscrub tortoise), 431 nucleotides. The record is from the annotation of a RefSeq genome assembly. Lineage: Eukaryota; Metazoa; Chordata; Testudines; Testudinidae.